GCUUGACUGUAGCUUGUAAUUGGGUUCGGGCUUUUUUGCGCAGCCUAGGUGGGAGGCAACGAUGAUUUUUUUCCGGAAAAAUUUGAAGCGUUAGUGAGAGACCACUCUGAAAAGGCUAGAAUCCUAAUAAUGAUCCUUGAAUCAGGACAUUUGACAGUUGCAGGUGGCAGUUUUACUGGGCGGUAUUCUCCUAAAAAGUAACGGAGGGGUGCAAAGGUUCCCUCAAGCUGGACGGAAAUCAGCUUAAGAGUGUAAAGGCAAAAGGGAGCUUGACUGCAAGACCUACAAGUCGAGCAGGGGCGAAAGCCGGCCUUAGUGAUCCGACGGUACCACGUGGAAGGGCCGUCGCUCAACGGAUAAAGUUA
Molecule: ribosomal RNA, 365 nt
Filed under: uncultured alga
Lineage: Eukaryota
Description: bacterial LSU rRNA
Rfam family: Bacterial large subunit ribosomal RNA
Source: RNAcentral